Molecule: microRNA precursor, 139 nt
Filed under: Triticum aestivum (bread wheat)
Lineage: Eukaryota; Viridiplantae; Streptophyta; Magnoliopsida; Poales; Poaceae
Description: miR9677b stem-loop (tae-MIR9677b)
Source: miRBase by way of RNAcentral
UGCUGGGCAUCAGGGCGGGGAACAGGUGGCCAUGCUCGUCUCCUACUCUACCAACGGCCACGCCAUGGUCGCGGGGGAGACGUGGCUGUUGGUAGAGUGGAAGAGAAGCGAGGCCGCCUUUGAUGGUGAGCACCGCGCA